AGUGAAGGAGAUCCCGAGUGCAGGAGAUCCGAAAAUGAUUGCAAAAGAAGCUACGAUUGCGGAAGGUGAAACGAUUCUCGGGAAAAGGGGCGGCUGGACAUUCGAGCCACGGAAAAAGGGAGUUUAAUUACGUAGCCAGUUCGCAUUGCGCAUCCAACUUCUUACCAAGAUGAAAUUGGCUUUCCUUAUUAAAAUUUAAGAUAUUCGAGAAUCUAUCGACGUAAUCACCAAAUGUCAUUAACCAUUUAAUUGCCACGUUAAUUCGGUAGUUUAGAAUCGGAUCAUGCUCUUCUAUGAUUAAACAAUUUUCUAAUAAUCGAAAAUGUACGAAAGAUUUGUCGACUAUGUUAAAAC
This 354-nucleotide unclassified non-coding RNA is filed under the name Bombus terrestris (buff-tailed bumblebee). Its description in RNAcentral is "misc RNA ENSBTSG00005026660.1". Lineage: Eukaryota; Metazoa; Arthropoda; Insecta; Hymenoptera; Apidae. The record is from RNAcentral.